GGUCGUCUUCAGUCUCAGGCACUGCCAGAUUGGCUGGUGAUGUGUCUGCUUGUAUUUUUCAGGAAGGAAAAUGAAUGGCAUUGGGAUUCGUAAAUAACCAGUGAAGCUCUGAAAGCUCAGCAUGAAGCUGAGGAGAAGAGCUGCUACAGGUAAGGAGCCAGUGCUGUUCCAGCAGCGUUGGGCAGAAAUGCAAGUGGUGGGCAGCAAAAUCUCCUUCUUCAAAACAAUGAGUAAUUGCGUUUUCCCACAAAUCAGAUUAUUCACUGUGAAUAAACCCCAUAAUAUUCUUUGUUGGUCCACUGCAGGCUGUGUUUUUGUGCCAUGGAUGGCACAGAGGCUGGCUGAGGGGCAGUCCCAGAGCACCUUCAAUCUCCUCCUGCAGAUGAGGAGACAUAGGCUGUAGUGAGAACACCACUGAACAGGUCCUGACCCUGCAAAGUACUCAUUUUUCCUCUGC
Molecule: long non-coding RNA, 457 nt
Filed under: Coturnix japonica (Japanese quail)
Lineage: Eukaryota; Metazoa; Chordata; Aves; Galliformes; Phasianidae
Description: lncRNA (ENSCJPG00005001366.1)
Source: RNAcentral